CUGAGGAGGCAAGAACUGAAGUUGUUGCAGACCCACUUGGAUACACCGCUAGUAACUCAGGAGAUGUGAUCUCACUGUGUUGCCCAGGCUGAUCUCAAAUUCCUGGCCUCCAGCUAUCCUCCUGUCUUGACCUCCCAAAGUGUUGGGUUUACAGCAACUUGCAACAGAUAGCACUGAGUCUAUAUGAAAGUUUUCAGCAAGUGAUCCACCAAAGUGAGUACACCAAGCCGUCUUGUAGGAUUACACAUGAAUCGUAUAUGUGAGGCACUCUAUACCUUCUUCUUUUUUUUUUACCAAAGUCACCUUCAUAAUGGAUGAUAACACAGAACAAGGCAUAACAAGUACUGUUUUUAAAGGAGUUACAUUCAAAUGAGGGAAGAUGUACAAUGAAAACAUG
RNAcentral lists this long non-coding RNA (397 nucleotides) under Callithrix jacchus (white-tufted-ear marmoset). RNAcentral describes it as "lncRNA (ENSCJAG00000052360.2)". The record is from RNAcentral. Lineage: Eukaryota; Metazoa; Chordata; Mammalia; Primates; Cebidae.